UACGUAGGGGGCUAGCGUUGUCCGGAAUCAUUGGGCGUAAAGCGCGCGUAGGCGGCCCGGUAAGUCCGCUGUGAAAGUCAAAGGCUCAACCUUUGAAUGUCAGCGGAUACUGCCGGGCUAGAGUCCGGAAGAGGCGAGUGGAACUCCUGGUGUAGCGGUGGAAUGCGCAGAUAUCAGGAGGAACACCGAUGGCGAAGGCAGAUCUCUGGGCCGUAACUGACGCUGAGGAGCGAAAGCAUGGGGAGCGAACAGG
RNAcentral lists this ribosomal RNA (253 nucleotides) under uncultured bacterium. Its description in RNAcentral is "partial 16S ribosomal RNA". It matches the Rfam family "Bacterial small subunit ribosomal RNA", at positions 524 to 776 of the family's 1533-position model. The record is from RNAcentral.